This 483-nucleotide ribosomal RNA is filed under the name Gerres japonicus (Japanese silver-biddy). Its description in RNAcentral is "partial 16S ribosomal RNA". It matches the Rfam family "Bacterial large subunit ribosomal RNA", at positions 1944 to 2568 of the family's 2925-position model. The record is from RNAcentral. Lineage: Eukaryota; Metazoa; Chordata; Actinopteri; Gerreiformes; Gerreidae.
GACCGUGCGAAGGUAGCGCAAUCACUUGUCCUUUAAAUGGAGACCUGUAUGAAUGGCAUAACGAGGGCUUUACUGUCUCCUUUUUCCAGUCAAUGAAAUUGAACUCCCCGUGCAGAAGCGGAGAUCUAUACAUAAGACGAGAAGACCCUAUGGAGCUUUAGACUAAGUGGGCAGACUACGUAAAGCACCCUUGAAGAAAAGACUAAACUGUAUGAACACUGUCCCAAUGUCUUUGGUUGGGGCGACCCUGGGGAACAAAAAUCCCCCAUGAAGACAGGGAGAACACCAAUUAUCCUCCUGCAACUAAGAACUACAAUUCUAAUUAACAGAACUAUCUGACUUUAUAAGAUCCGGCGCACGCCGAUUAACGGACCGAGUUACCCUAGGGAUAACAGCGCAAUCCUCUUUCAGAGUUCCUAUCGACAAGAGGGUUUACGACCUCGAUGUUGGAUCAGGACAUCCUAAUGGUGCAGCCGCUAUUAA